UACGGAGGGGGCUAGUGUUGUUCGGCAUUACUGGGCGUAAAGCGCGCGUAGGCGGACCUGCAAGUCGGGGGUGAAAGCCCGAGGCUCAACCUCGGAACUGCCUUCGAUACUGCGGGUCUCGAGUCCGGGAGAGGUGAGUGGAAUUCCUAGUGUAGAGGUGAAAUUCGUAGAUAUUAGGAAGAACACCAGUGGCGAAGGCGGCUCACUGGCCCGGUACUGACGCUGAGGCGCGAAAGCGUGUCGAGGAAACAGG
Molecule: ribosomal RNA, 253 nt
Filed under: uncultured bacterium
Lineage: Bacteria
Description: partial 16S ribosomal RNA
Rfam family: Bacterial small subunit ribosomal RNA
Source: RNAcentral